CGGCCCUAAUAUAGUCUCCUCAAGCCCACCAUUUUCUCUUUCUAUAAUCUUGGUCACUAAUGGGCAAUCAUCAGCGAAGGGCAAAUGGGAUACAAUCAGACCUUGUGUUGAUGGUCCACAGCCUCUAAAUCCGGCCAAAUUAUAUUGCUUCUUUCAGAGAUCUAGUUAGCAUUCCAAAGACAAGAUGAAUAGAGUCAGGGUUGCCUCAAUCUCAUUGUCGCUUAAUCCCAUGGCCG
This 236-nucleotide long non-coding RNA is filed under the name Elaeis guineensis (African oil palm). RNAcentral describes it as "long non-coding RNA (EGUI_LNC040264)". Lineage: Eukaryota; Viridiplantae; Streptophyta; Magnoliopsida; Arecales; Arecaceae. The record is from RNAcentral.